RNAcentral lists this ribosomal RNA (407 nucleotides) under uncultured bacterium. Its description in RNAcentral is "bacterial SSU rRNA". It matches the Rfam family "Bacterial small subunit ribosomal RNA", at positions 976 to 1381 of the family's 1533-position model. The record is from RNAcentral.
UAGCCUUGACAUUGAGAGAACCUGCCAGAGAUGGCGGGGUGCCCUUCGGGGAGCUCGAAAACAGGUGCUGCACGGCUGUCGUCAGCUCGUGUCGUGAGAUGUUGGGUUAAGUCCCGCAACGAGCGCAACCCUCGUCCUUAGUUGCUAGCAGUUCGGCUGAGCACUCUAAGGAGACUGCCUUCGUAAGGAGGAGGAAGGUGAGGACGACGUCAAGUCAUCAUGGCCCUUAUGGCUAGGGCUACACACGUGCUACAAUGGGGCGUACAGAGUGUUGCGAUACCGCGAGGUGGAGCUAAUCACUUAAAGCGUCUCUCAGUUCGGAUUGGAGUCUGCAACUCGACUCCAUGAAGCUGGAAUCACUAGUAAUCGUAGAUCAGCAAUGCUACGGUGAAUACGUUCCCGGGUCU